RNAcentral lists this ribosomal RNA (437 nucleotides) under uncultured bacterium. RNAcentral's name for it is "bacterial SSU rRNA". It matches the Rfam family "Bacterial small subunit ribosomal RNA", at positions 958 to 1392 of the family's 1533-position model. The record is from RNAcentral.
AACGCGAAGAACCUUACCAGCCCUUGACAUGUCCCGUGUGGGUUUCAGAGAUGAGACCCUUCAGUUCGGCUGGCGGGAACACAGGUGCUGCAUGGCUGUCGUCAGCUCGUGUCGUGAGAUGUUGGGUUAAGUCCCGCAACGAGCGCAACCCUCGCCCUUAGUUGCCAUCAUUCAGUUGGGCACUCUAAGGGGACUGCCGGUGAUAAGCCGCGAGGAAGGUGGGGAUGACGUCAAGUCCUCAUGGCCCUUACGGGCUGGGCUACACACGUGCUACAAUGGCGGUGACAGUGGGACGCAAGGGAGCAAUCCUUAGCAAAUCUCAAAAAGCCGUCUCAGUUCGGAUUGGGGUCUGCAACUCGACCCCAUGAAGUUGGAAUCGCUAGUAAUCGCAGAUCAGCACGCUACGGUGAAUACGUUCCCGGGCCUUGUACACACCG